AUUGAACGCUGGCGGCAUGCUUUACACAUGCAAGUCGGACGAGUGGCGAACGGGUGAGUAACGCAUCGGAACGUACCGAGUAAUGGGGGAUAACUGUCCGAAAGGACAGCUAAUACCGCAUAUUAUUCGAGCGGCCGAUGUCUGAUUAGCUAGUUGGAGGGGUAACGGCCCACCAAGGCGAUGAUCAGUAGCCGGUCUGAGAGGAUGAACGGCCACAUUGGGACUGAGACACGGCCCAGACUCCUACGGGAGGCAGCAGUGGGGAAUAUUGCACAAUGGGCGCAAGCCUGAUGCAGCCAGGCCGCGUGUGUGAAGAAGGCCUUCGGGUUGUAAAGCUCUGUUAAUCGGGACGCGGUACCGGAAUAGAAAGCCACGGCUAACUACGUGCCAGCAGCCGCGGUAAUAC
Molecule: ribosomal RNA, 406 nt
Filed under: uncultured bacterium
Lineage: Bacteria
Description: partial 16S ribosomal RNA
Rfam family: Bacterial small subunit ribosomal RNA
Source: RNAcentral